CCAUCGGUCCUUUUCAGGGCCAUCAAAAGAGAGGAAAAAAGUUAA
Non-coding RNA from Aedes aegypti (yellow fever mosquito), 45 nucleotides. The record is from Rfam. NCBI's taxonomy places the organism in Eukaryota, Metazoa, Arthropoda, Insecta, Diptera, Culicidae.